UAUGAAUGGCCACACGAGGGCUUUACUGUCUCUUACUUCCAAUCCGUGAAAUUGACCUUCCCGUGAAGAGGCGGGAAUAUAACAAUAAGACGAGAAGACCCUAUGGAGCUUUAAUUAACCGACCCAAAGAGACCCCACUGAUUAACCGACAGGAACAACAAAUCUCUACAUGGGCCGACAAUUUAGGUUGGGGUGACCUCGGAGAAUAAAACAACCUCCGAGUGAUUUAAAUCUAGACUAACCAGUCGAAAGUAUUACAUCACUUAUUGAUCCAAAACUUGAUCAACGGAACAAGUUACCCUAGGGAUAACAGCGCAAUCCUAUUUUAGAGUCCAUAUCGACAAUAGGGUUUACGACCUCGAUG
RNAcentral lists this ribosomal RNA (364 nucleotides) under Leopardus tigrinus (little spotted cat). RNAcentral describes it as "partial 16S ribosomal RNA". It matches the Rfam family "Bacterial large subunit ribosomal RNA", at positions 1991 to 2531 of the family's 2925-position model. The record is from RNAcentral. Lineage: Eukaryota; Metazoa; Chordata; Mammalia; Carnivora; Felidae.